RNAcentral lists this ribosomal RNA (650 nucleotides) under uncultured bacterium. Its description in RNAcentral is "bacterial SSU rRNA". It matches the Rfam family "Bacterial small subunit ribosomal RNA", at positions 42 to 687 of the family's 1533-position model. The record is from RNAcentral.
UCAGGCCUAACACAUGCAAGUCGAACGGCAGCACGGACUUCGGUCUGGUGGCGAGUGGCGAACGGGUGAGUAAUGUAUCGGAACGUGCCCAGUAGCGGGGGAUAACUACGCGAAAGCGUAGCUAAUACCGCAUACGCCCUACGGGGGAAAGCAGGGGAUCGUAAGACCUUGCACUAUUGGAGCGGCCGAUAUCGGAUUAGCUAGUUGGUGGGGUAACGGCUCACCAAGGCGACGAUCCGUAGCUGGUUUGAGAGGACGACCAGCCACACUGGGACUGAGACACGGCCCAGACUCCUACGGGAGGCAGCAGUGGGGAAUUUUGGACAAUGGGGGAAACCCUGAUCCAGCCAUCCCGCGUGUGCGAUGAAGGCCUUCGGGUUGUAAAGCACUUUUGGCAGGAAAGAAACGUCAUGGGUUAAUACCCCGUGAAACUGACGGUACCUGCAGAAUAAGCACCGGCUAACUACGUGCCAGCAGCCGCGGUAAUACGUAGGGUGCAAGCGUUAAUCGGAAUUACUGGGCGUAAAGCGUGCGCAGGCGGUUCGGAAAGAAAGAUGUGAAAUCCCAGAGCUUAACUUUGGAACUGCAUUUUUAACUACCGGGCUAGAGUGUGUCAGAGGGAGGUGGAAUUCCGCGUGUAGCAGUGAAAU